AGUUGGGACUGUCAUGGAGGGC
This 22-nucleotide microRNA is filed under the name Oreochromis niloticus (Nile tilapia). RNAcentral describes it as "oni-miR-10599". The record is from miRBase by way of RNAcentral. Lineage: Eukaryota; Metazoa; Chordata; Actinopteri; Cichliformes; Cichlidae.